RNAcentral lists this ribosomal RNA (528 nucleotides) under Hesperorrhynchus phytobioides. Its description in RNAcentral is "partial 16S ribosomal RNA". It matches the Rfam family "Bacterial large subunit ribosomal RNA", at positions 1809 to 2611 of the family's 2925-position model. Lineage: Eukaryota; Metazoa; Arthropoda; Insecta; Coleoptera; Curculionidae. The record is from RNAcentral.
AAAAACAUGGCUUUUUGUUAAAAAUUUAAAGUCUGGCCUGCUCAAUGAAUUUUAAAUAGCCGCAGUAUAUUAACUGUGCCAAGGUAGCAUAAUCAUUAGUUUUUUAAUUGAAAGCUGGAAUGAAAGGUUGAAUGAGAAAAUAACUGUCUCUAUUAAAUUUAUAUGGAAUUUUAUUUUUAAGUAAAAAAGCUUAAAUGAUAGUAAAAGACGAGAAGACCCUAUAGAGUUUGAUAUUUAUAAAUAAUAUUUCUUUAAGUAUUUUAAAAUUUAUUUUAUUAUAAUAUUUAGUUGGGGUGAUUAGAAAAUUAAAUAAACUUUUCUUGUUUAAAAACAUUUAUUUAUGAAAAAAUGAUCCUUUAAUUAAGAUUAUAAGAUAAAAUUACCUUAGGGAUAACAGCGUAAUUUUUUUUGAGAGUUCUUAUCGAAAAAAAAGAUUGCGACCUCGAUGUUGGAUUAAAAUAAAUUUUUGGUGUAGAAGCUAAAUUAAUUAGGUCUGUUCGACCUUUAAAAUUUUACUUGAUCUGAGUU